Vicia faba (fava bean) is the source of this 270-nucleotide non-coding RNA. The record is from the annotation of a GenBank genome assembly. Lineage: Eukaryota; Viridiplantae; Streptophyta; Magnoliopsida; Fabales; Fabaceae.
AUGAUGACGGCUGCGAUUCCGGUACGACAGCUAGCGUCGGCCAGUGACGAUUGGGUGGAGCUUGGAGUAGUUGUUCCGUCGGUAACGGUUCUCGCGUGUAAAGAAAAAUAUAUGCACAGAGUGAAUGGAAAGUGUGGAUGGUUGUUAGAACAUGGUUUAAGGAAAUUGGCUAGUGUUUGUGUGGAAACUAGUUCAUGGGUUAAGAGACAGGCUAUGUUGAUGUUUAACUUAAGUUUUGCUAAUGGAAACUGUAUGGAUGUACAAGUUUGA